UGAGCAAUCUGCCCUUCUCUUUGGAAUAAGCGUUGGAAACGACGUCUAAUGCCGAAUACGACCUCCUUUCGCAUGAUCGGAGGUGGAAAGCUCCGGCGGAGAAGGAUGAGCUCGCGGCCUAUCAGCUAGUUGGUGUGGGUAAUGGCCCACCAAGGCGACGACGGGUAGCCGGCCUGAGGAGGGUGACCGGCCACACGUGGGACUGAGACACGGCCCAGACCUCCGUACGGGAGGNAGCG
Molecule: ribosomal RNA, 239 nt
Filed under: uncultured bacterium
Lineage: Bacteria
Description: partial 16S ribosomal RNA
Rfam family: Bacterial small subunit ribosomal RNA
Source: RNAcentral